This 307-nucleotide unclassified non-coding RNA is filed under the name Basidiomycota sp. RNAcentral's name for it is "partial contains small subunit ribosomal RNA, internal transcribed spacer 1, and 5.8S ribosomal RNA". The stretch from base 1 to 47 matches the Rfam family "Eukaryotic small subunit ribosomal RNA", at positions 1785 to 1831 of the family's 1831-position model. Lineage: Eukaryota; Fungi; Basidiomycota. The record is from RNAcentral.
AAAGUCGUAACAAGGUUUCCGUAGGUGAACCUGCGGAAGGAUCAUUAUGAAUUUGAAGUUGUUUCGUGUUAAGUUUUUAGCAUGAAGCAAUUCUUUUUCUGUGAACUGUGUUAUUUCUGUGCUGUGAAAGCCAUCAAGUUUUUUUUAUUACUUGAAGCGGAAGCAAAUCAGAGUAGCAGACUUGUAUUCUUGUAUCUUAUUCCAUCUUUUUUUGUCUUCUAAUUCAAUGCGCCUUUAUAAGCGAUAUUGAAUAACAAGCAAAAAAAAAAAACCAAGACAACUUUCAGCAAUGGAUCUCUUGGCUCUU